This 910-nucleotide ribosomal RNA is filed under the name uncultured bacterium. RNAcentral's name for it is "bacterial SSU rRNA". It matches the Rfam family "Bacterial small subunit ribosomal RNA", at positions 33 to 934 of the family's 1533-position model. The record is from RNAcentral.
ACGCUAGCUACAGGCUUAACACAUGCAAGUCGAGGGGAAACGGCAUUAAGUGCUUGCACUUUUUGGACGUCGACCGGCGCACGGGUGAGUAACGCGUAUCCAACCUUCCCAUGACUAAGGGAUAACCUGCCGAAAGGCAGACUAAUACCUUAUGGUCUUCACUGACGGCAUCAGAUGUGAAGUAAAGAUUUAUCGGUUAUGGAUGGGGAUGCGUCUGAUUAGCUUGUUGGCGGGGUAACGGCCCACCAAGGCAACGAUCAGUAGGGGUUCUGAGAGGAAGGUCCCCCACAUUGGAACUGAGACACGGUCCAAACUCCUACGGGAGGCAGCAGUGAGGAAUAUUGGUCAAUGGGCGAGAGCCUGAACCAGCCAAGUAGCGUGCAGGAUAACGGCCCUAUGGGUUGUAAACUGCUUUUGUAUGGGGAUAAAGUCAGUCACGUGUGAUUGUUUGCAGGUACCAUACGAAUAAGGACCGGCUAAUUCCGUGCCAGCAGCCGCGGUAAUACGGAAGGUCCGGGCGUUAUCCGGAUUUAUUGGGUUUAAAGGGAGCGUAGGCUGGAGAUUAAGUGUGUUGUGAAAUGUAGACGCUCAACGUCUGACUUGCAGCGCAUACUGGUUUCCUUGAGUACGCACAACGUUGGCGGAAUUCGUCGUGUAGCGGUGAAAUGCUUAGAUAUGACGAAGAACUCCGAUUGCGAAGGCAGCUGACGGGAGCGCAACUGACGCUGAAGCUCGAAGGUGCGGGUAUCGAACAGGAUUAGAUACCCUGGUAGUCCGCACAGUAAACGAUGGAUGCCCGCUGUUGGUACUUGGUAUCAGCGGCUAAGCGAAAGCAUUAAGCAUCCCACCUGGGGAGUACGCCGGCAACGGUGAAACUCAAAGGAAUUGACGGGGGCCCGCACAAGCGGAG